RNAcentral lists this ribosomal RNA (750 nucleotides) under uncultured bacterium. RNAcentral describes it as "bacterial SSU rRNA". It matches the Rfam family "Bacterial small subunit ribosomal RNA", at positions 1 to 753 of the family's 1533-position model. The record is from RNAcentral.
GAUUGAGUUUGAUCCUGGCUCAAGAUGAACGCUGGCGGCGUGCCUAACACAUGCAAGUCGAACGGGGUAUAUAAGCGGAAGUUUACGGAUGGAAGGUUAUAUACUUAGUGGCGGACGGGUGAGUAACGCGUGGGCAACCUGCCCCGUGCCGGGGGAUACCGCCUGGAAACAGGCGCUAAUACCGCAUAAGCGCAUACAGCCGCAUGGGUGUAUGCGGAAAGCUCCGGCGGCACGGGAUGGGCCCGCGCCCGAUUAGCCAGUUGGCGGGGUAACGGCCCACCAAAGCGACGAUCGGUAGCCGGCCUGAGAGGGCGGACGGCCACAUUGGGACUGAGACACGGCCCAAACUCCUACGGGAGGCAGCAGUGGGGAAUAUUGCACAAUGGGGGAAACCCUGAUGCAGCAACGCCGCGUGGGUGAAGGAGCGUUUCGGCGCGUAAAGCCCUGUCAGCGGGGAAGAAGAAAGACGGUACCCGACCAAGAAGCCCCGGCUAACUACGUGCCAGCAGCCGCGGUAAUACGUAGGGGGCGAGCGUUAUCCGGAAUUACUGGGUGUAAAGGGAGCGUAGACGGCGAGGUAAGCCUGAAGUGGAAGCCCGCGGCCCAACCGCGGAACUGCUUUGGGAACUGUUUUGCUGGANUAUGGGGAGGGGUAAGCGGAAUUCCUGGUGUAGCGGUGAAAUGCGUAGAUAUCAGGAGGAACACCCGGUGGCGAAAGCGGCUUACUGGACCAUAACUGACGUUGAGGCU